AGAAGAGAGAAGCAAUUUCAACGUUUCAAGGGGGAAUUCAAGCGAAACCUUAAAUUCUGGGAUGAGCUCUAUAAUAUUGUCAGGGCAGGAGGGAGCUCAAAUUUGAUGAAAUUACGGAAUUUUUACAGAGCAUAUUCAUCUCUGCCAGCACACUAUACCGGACCGCUCUUAGUUAUCAAUCUCAAUCGCUUACUCCAGCUUUCAAGCAAUUUCAAAACAUUACGUCCUGGAAAACAGACCCAUCAACAGAUAAUUGUACCGAGAAUCCAUUUAUCAUAACUAAAUUAAUCCAAAUGUAUGCUGAUUGUGAUGUUGUAAAUUCUGCGCGCCAUCUGUUUGAUGAAUUGCCGCAGCCGAAUGUGUUUGCCUGGACGGCACUCGUAUCCUUCUUUUCUGGGAAUGGGUUGUUUUAUGAGUGCGUUAGAACUUAUUGCAAGAUGAAAUUCAAUGGUGUUUUGCCUGAUAAGUACGUGUUUCCGAGAGUUCUGAGAGCAUGUUCAUUGUAUUCUUGCUUGGAAGUUGGGGUUCAGGUUCACAAAGACGUGAUUGUGUGUGGUGCUGAACAAAAUGUGCAUGUUGGGAAUUCUUUUGAUUGAUAUAUACUCAAAAUGUGGGGACCUUAGGAGUGGUAGAUUGGUUUUUGAUUUGAUGAUGGAGAGGGACUUGCUUUCUUCAAAUUCGAUGAUUUCAGGUACUCCUUAACUAUGAAUAGAAGGGUACAUAAUCACUCAAAGGAAGAGACAAUUGUGACAGCCUUAGUUUCCUUUCAUCCGAAAGAAAUUUUGCAAACCUGCCAGUAAAGGAAACAAAGAUAAAGGUUAGAAUAAUACUUUUAUCUCAUCAUAGCAUAAAACAUAUUUAGUUUAUGCAAUACUACUUUUGAAGUGCUUCCAUGUUGGUUCCUCCAUUAUUCACUGGUUUAUAUUCUCCAGUAUGUAUAUCAACCUUGAAAACGGGUUUUCUCAAUAGAUUCUCUCCAACCCUGACAAGAUUUCCCAAAUUCUCCUUAGUUGCUUCAUCCAUAGAGGACAAAGCCCCAGUCAGUGUAUUAUCCUGCACUUUGCAUGCAAAACAAAGCCAUUGUAAGACUAUGACACAUUAAUGGCCCUGUUUAAUAAAUGGUUGUUAGCUGA
Molecule: long non-coding RNA, 1133 nt
Organism: Ipomoea triloba (trilobed morning glory)
Lineage: Eukaryota; Viridiplantae; Streptophyta; Magnoliopsida; Solanales; Convolvulaceae
Exons: 2
Source: RefSeq, a predicted model, not a curated record